RNAcentral lists this ribosomal RNA (590 nucleotides) under Trichoderma sp. JZ-67. RNAcentral describes it as "eukaryotic LSU rRNA". The stretch from base 205 to 358 matches the Rfam family "5.8S ribosomal RNA". The record is from RNAcentral. Lineage: Eukaryota; Fungi; Ascomycota; Sordariomycetes; Hypocreales; Hypocreaceae.
UGGGAAUCGAGUUUCAGCUCCCAACCCAAUGUGAACGUUACCAAACUGUUGCCUCGGCGGGAUCUCUGCCCCGGGUGCGUCGCAGCCCCGGACCAAGGCGCCCGCCGGAGGACCAACCAAAACUCUUAUUGUAUACCCCCUCGCGGGUUUUUUACUAUCUGAGCCAUCUCGGCGCCCCUUGCGGGCGUUUCGAAAAUGAAUCAAAACUUUCAACAACGGAUCUCUUGGUUCUGGCAUCGAUGAAGAACGCAGCGAAAUGCGAUAAGUAAUGUGAAUUGCAGAAUUCAGUGAAUCAUCGAAUCUUUGAACGCACAUUGCGCCCGCCAGUAUUCUGGCGGGCAUGCCUGUCCGAGCGUCAUUUCAACCCUCGAACCCCUCCGGGGGUCCGGCGUUGGGGAUCGGCCCUUUACCGGCCGGCCCCGAAAUACAGUGGCGGUCUCGCCGCAGCCUCUCCUGCGCAGUAGUUUGCACACUCGCACCGGGAGCGCGGCGCAGUCCAAUGCCGUAAAACACCCAACUUUCUGAAAUGUUGACCUCGGAUCAGGUAGGAAUACCCGCUGAACUUAAGCAUAUCAAUAGGCCGGGAGGAA